UCGGGAAUUUUGGGCAAUGGGCGAAAGCCUGACCCAGCAACGCCGCGUGAAGGAUGAAGUAUUUCGGUAUGUAAACUUCGAAAGAAUAGGAAGAAUAAAUGACGGUACUAUUUAUAAGGUCCGGCUAGCUACGUGCCAGCAGCCGCGGUAAUACGUAGGGACCAAGCGUUGUUCGGAUUUACUGGGCGUAAAGGGCGCGUAGGCGGGUUUGCAAGUCCGUGGUGAAAUACCUCAGCUCAACUGAGGAACUGCCUCGGAUACUGCGAGUCUCGAGGGUGGUAGGGGUAUGCGGAACUAUCGGUGGAGCGGUGAAAUGCGUUGAUAUCGAUAGGAACUCCGGUGGCGAAGGCGGCAUACUGGACCACUUCUGACGCUGAGGCGCGAAAGCCAGGGGAGCAAACGGGAUUAGAUACCCAAGUAGUCCCUGAGCGGGCUGGCAAGGCGCAU
RNAcentral lists this ribosomal RNA (447 nucleotides) under uncultured bacterium. RNAcentral describes it as "bacterial SSU rRNA". It matches the Rfam family "Bacterial small subunit ribosomal RNA", at positions 355 to 825 of the family's 1533-position model. The record is from RNAcentral.